UUAGACAUCGCCAUAUCACCCUGAAGCCCAAGGUUACUCACUGCAGCUAAGCAUGGCUGAGCCUGGUCAGUACCUAGAUGGGAGACCACAUGAGAAAACUAGGUUGCUGUUGGAA
Ribosomal RNA from Danio rerio (zebrafish), 115 nucleotides. Lineage: Eukaryota; Metazoa; Chordata; Actinopteri; Cypriniformes; Danionidae. The record is from Ensembl.